AUCCUCACAUAUUUUUCAUUUAUUUCAUUUAUUUAAUGAAUGAAAAUCUCUCAAUUUCACAAAAACGCUGAUGGUUUCAAAACUAGGGUUAUUUUUAUUUCCAACAAAGACCUCAGCACACUAAAAAGUACUUAAAUACACCAUGUAAUAGAAUAUACAAUACAGUAGAUAAAUAGCUAUUCCAGAUAAGAUUUGAUUUAAAAAAAACAAAACAACAAUCACCAGUUUAUUACAUAUUACACUUGUUUAUGCUCAUAAAUCAUGAAUUUAGUGACUCAGAAAAGGUUUUUCAUAUCUUUGGUGAUUUAAAUUUAUGACAGUGGGGCAUAUUUGUAUAUUUUGUAUAUAUUAUGACAUUCUUAAUCUUGUGAGUUUUUUCUUAAAAAUGUCAGUUUUAUUCUUAAAAUUAGCUUUGUUUAUUUCAGUUUGACCCUAAAAUGCUCUCGUGUCAGCUGAAAACGUCUGGUACAAGAUAUUAAUCAAUCAUUUUAAAACUGUCAAUAGUGAUAACGUGUAUUCUCUCUAACACACAGUACAGACACAUUUCUCGUCAUUUUGGCUCAAACUACACCUUAAAUUUGAGUUCUUCUUGCCAAUUUGUAUAUUUUUGUCAUUUUCAAGUGCUUUACACCUAUUAUUUAUCCGUUCACUUUCUUCAUAUUUCAGCUGAACACUCUUUGUUAACACAAACAUGUUUCAUUUGACUGGAUAAACCAGUUUGAAACAAUUGAAACAGGGAGAAUAAGUAGUGAUUUAUGAGUGAAAAUGGGAACGUGUGACAUACGAUGCCUGUUUUCAGCAGAAACUCAUGCUUGUUUUUUCUUUGGGUGGGGUGUGUGACUGUUUUUUUGUUUUUUUCACACACAGGCUGAAAAAGUAUGAAAAACAUCAGGAAACAGACUCUACGCUCCACAGGGGGGGGGUGUGUGUGUGUGUGUGUGUGUGUGUGUGUUGGAUUCAGACUAGCCACUUAUUCCCACGAUUCAGAAGUCUUUUUCACCCCCAGUUUUCUUUUCCCUGCUGUUGAAAUAAGAAAAACCGACUAAAGAACACAAAGAAAGCUCUUUUUUUUUUUUUUUUUACACAACACUGGAGGGUUUUCAACAUGAGGGUGAAAAAUGGGAAUGGUUUCAGCUCAUUCCAUCCUGAAACAUGUCCAUUAACCUGUGCUAUAGGACAGGGGGUCGCCAGAUGCCUUCAAGAAUGUUUUCUGAACAAUUUGAACCAAUUUGUGUUCAUUUUUUUACCAUUUUUCUGCAGCUACACCAAACUCACCAUAUUUUAACCUAUUUUCAUCACUUUUUCUUGCCAUAUUUUUGCACCUUUUAGUGUAUUUUUGCUACAUUCCUCCCAUUUCUGACACUUCUACAUCACAUUUCAAUUCCUUUUCUGCACUUUUUUCCAAUUUCAAGACAUGUUCAGCACUUAUAAACCAUUUCCACCACUUUUCCACCUAAUGUCGCAUAUGUUGACACAUUAUUGUCACUUUUAACCUCUUUUCACCAUAUUUCAUGCUGACUUUUGCCAAUUUAACUACAUUCACAAUUUGUCAUUCCCAUUAUUUGCCAGUUUAAACUAAUUAUUCCUCAUUUUUAAAUUACAUUAUACCCCGCCCCCCAUUUCUGCCAAUACAAUAUUGACACUUAGAACCUUUUUUUAAAUUUUUUUUUUACCACUUUUUUGUCUCUAAUUUGCAACGUUCUUACCAAUAUCUGUUUUUUAAAAAUCCCAUUUCACCACCUUUUGCACCAUUUUUGGUCACUUUUAACCCGUUUUAUUUCUGAUUAAAAUAAGGAUUUACAUCUAUGAUUAUAUAAUAUGGUGCAAAUAAUAAUAAACGUUCCUGGAUAACAGUAGAUAUUAUUCA
This 1867-nucleotide long non-coding RNA is filed under the name Gouania willdenowi (blunt-snouted clingfish). RNAcentral's name for it is "lncRNA (ENSGWIG00000016283.1)". Lineage: Eukaryota; Metazoa; Chordata; Actinopteri; Blenniiformes; Gobiesocidae. The record is from RNAcentral.